Molecule: unclassified non-coding RNA, 315 nt
Filed under: plant metagenome
Description: partial contains 5.8S ribosomal RNA, internal transcribed spacer 2, and large subunit ribosomal RNA
Rfam family: 5.8S ribosomal RNA (bases 1-105)
Source: RNAcentral
AAAAUGCGAUAAGUAAUGUGAAUUGCAGAAUUCAGUGAAUCAUCGAAUCUUUGAACGCACAUUGCGCCCGCCAGUAUUCCGGCGGGCAUGCCUGUUCGAGCGUCAUUUCAACCCUCAAGCCCCCGGGUUUGGUGUUGGGGAUCGGGCUGCGGUUCUGCCGCGUCCCGGCCCCGAAAUCUAGUGGCGGUCUCGCUGCAGCCUCCAUUGCGUAGUAGCUAACACCUCGCAACUGGAACGCGGCGCGGCCAAGCCGUUAAACCCCCAACUUCUGAAUGUUGACCUCGGAUCAGGUAGGAAUACCCGCUGAACUUAAGC